AGUUUUUCCACAUUGUGUUGUCAGUUUCUUUAUUUAUUUUUUAAGAAAAAAAUUAUUAAAAUUUGGUUCAUAAGAGAAAUGCAAUGUGGUGUUUACUUAAAAAAGUAAUCAGUUUUAAAAAAAGGGUGCGGUUUCUAUAAGGUUGCAACCUUAAACAAUCCAAUUAAAGCGCAAUACCAAAUUUUAUCAUAACAUGUAAUUGUUAGGAUUAUUUUAAAAACUAUUUUCAUAUCUAAUUAGAAAAUUUUAAACUCCGAAAAUGGCUAAAAUCAAGUAGAUCUAUAAACAUAUAAAACUCUUGAAAAUGGACGGUCUAGAUAAUGUGUUGUAAGAUGUACUAUUUUUGGGACUCAAAAUUUUUUUUUUUUAAUAUUCAUACAUCUCGAUGUCGAGAUGAUCAAUUAGAGGAUUUUUCAACAUCCGCCUUUCCGAUAGAUUUUUGAGAUGCAUCUGUGAUUCGGUUGCAACCUUAUAUAAACUUUUCCCUUUAAAAAUAUCCUUUAUGUUAGUUACCACUUCAAGAAUUUUGUUAAAAAAUACCUAAAUUGUUUUUGUUCUAGGUUUGUAAUUCUAUACAAGUAAGGAUGUUUUGGUUAUUUGGCAUAUUUAAGUUACAUGAUGUUUUUAUAUGACCUAAAUACCCUAAAUUACUUGAGCCAUACGAUCUAAAUACCCUCGUUCCAGGUUUCAACUCAGAGUAUAUUUUUCUCAUUAAAAUUUCUUAUUCUGAGUUUGGGACUCAAAACAAACAAAGGCAGUUUUGAUAAUGUUGGUAAUUUGACGAUACUAAAGGCAUCUAGGUCAAAACACAUGCGUGCUCUUAUUUCUUCCAAUUUCCAAAUACAUAACAAGAUUUUAAAAUUUAAAAUACAUGUUCUGAGUUUGGAACCCAGAACAAUCAAAAUUAUUGAAGUCAUUUGGCUCGAGUAAGAUUAUAGCAACAUAAGCAAAAUGCCUAUAAUUUUUUCAAGGUUCCAAACUCAGAAAAAAGGCAGUAUAGGCAUUUUCUAUUAAAAUUAUGAGGUCG
Molecule: long non-coding RNA, 1027 nt
Filed under: Amborella trichopoda
Lineage: Eukaryota; Viridiplantae; Streptophyta; Magnoliopsida; Amborellales; Amborellaceae
Description: long non-coding RNA (ATRI_LNC005412)
Source: RNAcentral